This 440-nucleotide ribosomal RNA is filed under the name uncultured bacterium. Its description in RNAcentral is "partial 16S ribosomal RNA". It matches the Rfam family "Bacterial small subunit ribosomal RNA", at positions 338 to 795 of the family's 1533-position model. The record is from RNAcentral.
CCUACGGGAGGCAGCAGUAGGGAAUAUUGCUCAAUGGGGGAAACCCUGAAGCAGCAACGCCGCGUGGAGGAUGAAGGUUUUCGGAUUGUAAACUCCUUUUGUUAGAGAAGAUAAUGACGGUAUCUAACGAAUAAGCACCGGCUAAUUCCGUGCCAGCAGCGGCGGUACUACGGAGGGUGCAAGCGUUAUUCGGAUUCACUGGGCGUAAAGGGCGCGUAGGCGGGUUAGCAAGUCAGAUGUGAAAUCCUUUGGCUUAACCGUAGAAUUGCAUUUGAAACUGUUAUUCUAGAGUAGAGGUGAGGUAGGUGGAAUUCUUGGUGUAGGGGUGAAAUGCGUAGAGAUCACGAAGAAUACUCAUUGCGAAGGCGACCUGCUAGAACGUAACUGACGCUGAUGCGCGAAAGCGUGGGGAGCAAACAGGAUUAGAUACCCGAGUAGUC